RNAcentral lists this non-coding RNA (25 nucleotides) under Mus musculus (house mouse). The record is from RNAcentral. Lineage: Eukaryota; Metazoa; Chordata; Mammalia; Rodentia; Muridae.
UGCAAAUCUCUUGGUCCUUGGUCUC